This 622-nucleotide ribosomal RNA is filed under the name uncultured fungus. RNAcentral's name for it is "eukaryotic LSU rRNA". The stretch from base 208 to 362 matches the Rfam family "5.8S ribosomal RNA". The record is from RNAcentral. Lineage: Eukaryota; Fungi.
CAUUACUGAACUGUCGACACGAGUUGUUGCUGGUCCUCGAAAGGGGGCAUGUGCACGCUCUGUUUACACAUCCACUCACACCUGUGCACCCUCUGUAGUUCUGUGGCCUUGGGGACUCCCGUCCUCUUGCUGCGGUCCUACGUCUUUACACACACACCAUAAUACAGUCUCAUGGAAUGUAUGUCGCGUUUAACGCAAUACAAUUACAACUUUCAGCAACGGAUCUCUUGGCUCUCGCAUCGAUGAAGAACGCAGCGAAAUGCGAUAAGUAAUGUGAAUUGCAGAAUUCAGUGAAUCAUCGAAUCUUUGAACGCACCUUGCGCCCUUUGGCUAUUCCGAAGGGCAUGCCUGUUUGAGUAUCAUGAACACCUCAACUCUCAUGGUCCACCAUGAUGAGCUUGGACUUUGGAGGUAUUGCCGGCCCAAUUGUCGGCUCCUCUCAAAUGGAUCAGCUUGCCAGUGUUUGGUGGCAUCACGGGUGUGAUAACUAUCUACGCUCGUGGCUUUCCACCAUGUAACCUUCAGCGAUGGAGGUUCGCUGGAGCUCACAGACGUCUCUCCUCAGGGAGGACAGCUUUUUGAACGUUUGAUCUCAAAUCAGGUAGGACUACCCGCUGAACUU